UCUAGUAAACCUACAUAAACUAUUCAAAAAAUAAAACUCAAUUUGGAAGAACAAAGCACAAAUUCCAGUGUCUGAAUGUAAUUUGUUGGCCAAUACCUUGAAUCAAAAAUUGUAACAUUCAUUGCAAUGGAAAAUACCUAAAACCACUCAGCGUCAAAGUUGGUAGAACUAUCGAAUCCAACUAUUGGUAACAAUUACAUCAUUUCAUAGACAGAACGAAAUUGAACAAGCUCUUUUUGGACGGGGGAAUGAUGGCUCCUGGGGACGCUGCUCUUGUGCCCAAAACUCGCUGGAACAAUUAGCUCAAAAGGUUGGGGGUUUUUGGGGCUCGGAAUGAUUCAAAGAGCGCGUCGUCGACAACUGAAGCCCUAUGAAAAAGUUUCAGUUUUUGCGCAAACAAAUUGGAUUAUUCGAUUACGUGUUUGUACAAGCGCAUUGUGCGACCAAGGGGAAGGCGGGCCGACCGGGGUGGAGUGCUGGAAAAUCAGAUGAGACUUGGAGGAAGUUAAGGAUGGCAUUUCUGACGGAAGUCCAGGAUUAAGUAAUCUCCAAGGUGGGAAAAUUUCAUCUAUCAAACGCCGGGAAAAAAUGGGUCAUUGGAAAAAGAAUCCCCUAAAGUCGAUUCAGAGGUUUUUUGCGCAAAAAAAUAUGAAUAAGAACAAUUGACCGACCUAAUCUCAGCUGCCUCUGAAUUUCAUUAGAGAACAUAUUGAACCUUGGAAGGAAGGACUGCUCCUUUUCCCCCACUGAGUCAAGAUGAGCAAGGAGCAAGUGGCAAAAAGUGAGGAGAUGCACGUGCCAAAAGUCUCAAGUUUAGCUGUUGCUGUGGCUACUCGCAAAAAAUUUGCUCCGGGCGCUUUUAGCAAAAGUGUAACGAAGGACGGGGGACUGCGACUGGCAGGAAGGGCAUGAAGGACGAGGUGGCAGCCGGAAAAUUGAGGAAAAACUGAGACUGGGUUGGGAUGAGCACACAGAGAUGACGACAGCUUGGGCUUGUCAUGGCAGAACGCGACGUGAGCGGUGGCUUGGCCUUUGGCAAUUUUCUUAUUGCAUGCAUGUGGCAGCUAAAAAAAUACUGGCCAGGAACAAAACGUAGAGGGCAAAAAGGAUUGGGCCGGUAACGACAAAUAGUGUUGCAUAUUUAUGUGCGCAUCCACACAAAACAGGACUUUUGUAAUUAAAACGAGAGUGAAAAUGGUUUACUAUG
This 1207-nucleotide small RNA is filed under the name Drosophila ananassae. RNAcentral's name for it is "GF27056". The record is from RNAcentral. Lineage: Eukaryota; Metazoa; Arthropoda; Insecta; Diptera; Drosophilidae.